UGGGUCGGCGCGGGCAUCAACGGCCGCCAGCGGCAGAAGCGCCAAGAACGCCGCACGGCAAAUCCGGCCGGGCGUGAAAAAAAAGCGCGUCGAUGAAAAGCCAGCCGGCCCGAAUAUGCGCAUGGCGGGAAGUAUGGCCGAUA
RNAcentral lists this non-coding RNA (143 nucleotides) under Mesorhizobium sp. LSHC420B00. RNAcentral describes it as "Mesorhizobail RNA 10". It matches the Rfam family "Mesorhizobail RNA 10". From Rfam's summary of the family: Existence predicted via genome wide comparisons with 4 related strains. The record is from Rfam by way of RNAcentral. Lineage: Bacteria; Pseudomonadati; Pseudomonadota; Alphaproteobacteria; Hyphomicrobiales; Phyllobacteriaceae.